RNAcentral lists this transfer RNA (74 nucleotides) under Enterococcus faecium. Its description in RNAcentral is "tRNA-Ile". It matches the Rfam family "tRNA". Rfam says of the family: Transfer RNA (tRNA) molecules are approximately 80 nucleotides in length. Their secondary structure includes four short double-helical elements and three loops (D, anti-codon, and T loops). Further hydrogen bonds mediate the characteristic L-shaped molecular structure. tRNAs have two regions of fundamental functional importance: the anti-codon, which is responsible for specific mRNA codon recognition, and the 3' end, to which the tRNAs corresponding amino acid is attached (by aminoacyl-tRNA synthetases). tRNAs cope with the degeneracy of the genetic code in two manners: having more than one tRNA (with a specific anti-codon) for a particular amino acid; and 'wobble' base-pairing, i.e. permitting non-standard base-pairing at the 3rd anti-codon position. The record is from RNAcentral. Lineage: Bacteria; Bacillati; Bacillota; Bacilli; Lactobacillales; Enterococcaceae. RNAcentral also lists the same sequence under 1 other name.
GGGACUAUAGCUCAGCUGGUUAGAGCGCACGCCUGAUAAGCGUGAGGUCGAUGGUUCGAGUCCAUUUAGGCCCA